This 467-nucleotide ribosomal RNA is filed under the name uncultured bacterium. RNAcentral's name for it is "partial 16S ribosomal RNA". It matches the Rfam family "Bacterial small subunit ribosomal RNA", at positions 28 to 507 of the family's 1533-position model. The record is from RNAcentral.
GAUGAACGCUGGCGGCGUGCUUAACACAUGCAAGUCGAACGGAAAGGCCGGAGCUUGCUUCGUUACUCGAUUGGCGAACGGGUGAGUAACACGUGGGGGUUCUGCCCUUUACUUCGUGAUAAGCUUUGGGAACUGGGUCUCAUACCGGGUAUGACAAUCUCUUGGGUGGGGUUGUGGAGUGCUUUUGGGUUAUGGUAUGAGUUCGCGGCCUAUCAGCUUCUUGUUGGGGUAAUGGCCUACCAAGGCGUCACCGGGUAACCGGACUGAGAGGGUGUACGGCGACCUUGGGACUUAGAUAAGGCCCAGACUCCGACGGGAGGCAGAAGUGGGGAAUAUUGAAGAAUGGGCGCAAGCCGGAUGCAGAGACGCCGCGUGGGGGAUGACGGCCUUAGGGUUGUAAAAUCAUUUCGCAACUGACGAAGCUUUUUGUGACGGUAGGUUGAGAAGAAGCACCGGCUAACUACGUG